RNAcentral lists this long non-coding RNA (2872 nucleotides) under Rattus norvegicus (Norway rat). Its description in RNAcentral is "long non-coding RNA NONRATT029930". Lineage: Eukaryota; Metazoa; Chordata; Mammalia; Rodentia; Muridae. The record is from RNAcentral.
GGACCUGGAGCCACCACAGCACGAGUGUCAAACACUGACAGAAGCCCAUGGGUGGAAGAAAGACCUCUGUGACUGUCUGAUUGACCCCUGCUGAAAGCCGAGGAGCUUGUCCACAGACGGGAACAGUUCUCUUCACGAAUAAAGGUCAGAGACAAGUGGGUGCUGCCAUGGUAGACAACACAAUGUCAACUAGAAUGGCUGAACCCCAACCCCCCAGCACAUCAGCGCCACAGAUGCCUUUGCCAUCUCUUAGAUGCCCUGAUGAAGCCAACAACUGUGAGUACUAUUCAUUGCUCAGGAUAUCAGGAGGAAAGAGAUUCAGUGACAUGGGACAGUAACAAAACAGAUAAAGUGGCUCGAGAAAUGGCUAUACAGGAGCCUAUCCUGGUUACAGGCCUACAAGAGACAGCCACUGGGAACUGGGAUUAGACUAAGGGAUGGCCUCACUUAGAAUGUACAACAGAAGAAAAGGCCCAAGUUGUUUAAAAGAUAAAAAGACAAUGACACACUUGGGGAGAAAGCUGUACCCCCCCCCCCAAAGAACAAACAAAAGACUCACUUUGCCAAAUUAAGAAAUGGACUCAUUUAGGAGAUAAGAAGUUUGUCCAAAUAGUUAAAAUAUAUGUAAUAGACUUUAAGAUUUUAGCCAAGAGAGACAGUAAAAAGUAUAAGAUAUGUCAGUAAGUGAAUGCUUAACAAACAAACAAGACAAAGAGACCUAGAGAGUUUAAUAAAAAGUCAAAGUGAACUUCACUGAGAUAAAACCAGAAAAAAUAUAAUCACAAGUAUCUCCUAGUGCUUGUAGAUACUUUUUCAGGAAUAGAUAGAAGCUUUCCUCACCAAACGAGAGACGGCCUCUACAAUCAUCAAGAAGAUACUGGAAGAAAUCUUCCCCAGGUCUGGAAUGCCCAAGGUAAUCUGGUCAGACAACGGCCCUACUUUCGCCGCCAAGGUAAGCCAGGGUGUGGCCAAGUAUUUAGAGGUCGAUUAGAAAUCACAUUGUAUUUACAGACCUCAAAGCUCAGGACACGUAGAGUAAAUAAAUAAAACUCUAAAAGAGACCCUGACCAAAUUGACCAUGGAGACUGGCACAGACUGGGUGACACUCCUUCCCUCUUGCUCUCUUCAGAGCAAGAAAUACCCCUUCCAGACUCAGCUUUACCCCCUUUGAGAUCUUAUAUGGGGCCUAAGCUCCCCUGACUGUAUUAGAUGAUGUUACUGAACCAACAUGUCAUAGUGCCAUAGUAAUAAUGAUUUGUGUGCCAGGCUAAAAGACCUACAGGUGAUACAGAAAGAAAUCUGCUCACAGCUGACAGCAGCCUAUGCCCCGGAGACCCCUGAGACAUCCCAUCAGUUCCAGGUCGGAAGCAGCUACACUGAGCCCAGACACUCGAGCCUCGCUGGAAAGGACCGUACCUGGUGCUGCUGACCACCCUGACAGCCGUCAAUUCUCAGCCCUCACCAGCCGUGUACUAGCUGUUAGGGCUGAGAGCUGGGACCUAGAGGGAAAUUCAGUCAUGUUUGUCCUGGGUUCUAUCAAGAUAGGUGUGGGAUAGGCUUGAUUUCUAUUACAAAUGAUGUAACAUUACAUAUGUUAAUACUCCUAACACUUCUUGGGACUGUGCCUCAGGGAUCACAACCUAUAUAAGUUUAGAAGUUCUGAAAGACAGUCAUGACCUUGGUAUAUAGGUUUAGAUAGUGUCCAGAUAAAAUCCUGAUGCUAAAGACUUUUUAGCUGACCUCCAAGAAUACCUAACCUCCCUCUCAGAGGUAGUCCUUCAAAAUAAGAAAAGAUUAGACCUGAUAUUCCUUAAAGAAGGAGUCUGUGUGCUACACUGAAAGAAUGUUGCUUCUAUACAGACCAUUCAGGAGUAAUUAAAGACUCCAUAAAUAAACUUAGAGAAAGGUUAGACAAAAGACAGACAGAAAAACACAUCAGAGAUGGUUCGAGAGCUAGUUUAGUAGAUCUCCCUAGAUGACUACCCUACUCUCUGCUACAGCUGGGCCAUUAUUAAUAAUUUUCUUGGUUUUAGUCUUUGGCUCCUGCGUGACAAACAGGUUAAUUGCUUUUGUUAAAAAUUGAGUGGGUGCUGUGCGGUUGAUGGUUGUGAGACAACAGUACCAGUCAGUUAGGACAACUGGUGAGACCAAAUAAGACUUGAUAUCAAAAUUCUAAGAUUAGAAUUAUUUAGUAGGAGAAGACGGGAAUGAAAAGAAAAUUAUACAAAUUCUAGGUUUAGAAAUAUAAAAUUAAAAGAGUUAGCCCCAAAAGCCACAAACUCAGGGCUAAGCCCUGCCGCCAGGAAUAGCAGGCCAUAAAGAUAAAGAAAAGGAAUGCAGGAUCCAGCUCAGGCUAUCGAGGACUGACCCAUAAACCAUCCAAAGACGUCCCCCCAGCUUACUCAGAGUCAUACUUUAACCAGAUGUCCUCCAGACCCUGAUAAGCCCCUACUUGUGCUUUUCAGCCAUUGUGUCCUGCAGAGAGCACUCCAAGAAACCGGGCAGCCCAAGCCUAACCAGAGGUGUUUCAAAUACAAAUGCUCCAUCAGUUUUGACAAACGUUUAAAAAUAAUGAGGACCUGAAGACCCUACCCUUCUCCUGAUUUAGUAGCUCUGUUCCAGGAACCAGGGGGCCAUAAAACCUUCUGGCGUCCCCUUAUCUCCUGGAGCCAUAAAACAAUCUUGUAACUUGUGGUACAUUCCCCUUUGACAUCCCCCAUCCCCUGGUGCUCACAGCCUCUGCCUUUAAAUACUCUUUUUCCCAGCCUCUCGGGGUCGACACCUCUGUCUCCUGCGUGGGAUAUGUGUCGGCCCGGAGAUCUCUGUAAUAGGUCUCCGUAAUAAACCUCGCCUUUGCUUAUUACAUCCAAAA